AGAGUUUGAUUCUGGCUCAGGAUGAACGCUAGCGAUAGGCCUAACACAUGCAAGUCGAGGGGCAGCACAUGAAGUAGCAAUACGGAUGGUGGCGACCGGCGCACGGGUGAGUAACGCGUAUGCAACCUGCCUACAACAGGGGAAUAACCCGUUGAAAGACGGACUAAUACCCCAUAACACAGGGAUCCCGCAUGGGAAUAUUUGUUAAAGAUUUAUCGGUUGUAGAUGGGCAUGCGUUCCAUUAGCUGGUUGGUGAGGUAACGGCUCACCAAGGCAACGAUGGAUAGGGGAACUGAGAGGUUUAUCCCCCACACUGGUACUGAGACACGGACCAGACUCCUACGGGAGGCAGCAGUGAGGAAUAUUGGUCAAUGGACGCAAGUCUGAACCAGCCACGUCGCGUGAAGGAAGACGGCCCUACGGGUUGUAAACUUCUUUUGUAAGGGAAUAAAGUGCAGUACGUGUACUGUUUUGCAUGUACCUUACGAAUAAGGAUCGGCUAACUCCGUGCCAGCAGCCGCGGUAAUACGGAGGAUCCGAGCGUUAUCCGGAUUUAUUGGGUUUAAAGGGUGCGCAGGCGGGAGAUUAAGUCGGCGGUGAAAUUUUGCAGCUCAACUGUAAAAGUGCCUUCGAAGCUGGUUUUCUUGAGUGUGGAUGAAGUAGGCGGAAUUUGUGGUGUAGCGGUGAAAUGCAUAGAUAUCACGAGGAACUCCGAUUGCGCAGGCAGCUUACUAAACCAUAACUGACGCUCAGGCACGAAGGCGUGGGGAUCAAACAGGAUUAGAUACCCUGGUAGUC
RNAcentral lists this ribosomal RNA (798 nucleotides) under uncultured Porphyromonadaceae bacterium. RNAcentral's name for it is "bacterial SSU rRNA". It matches the Rfam family "Bacterial small subunit ribosomal RNA", at positions 8 to 795 of the family's 1533-position model. The record is from RNAcentral. Lineage: Bacteria; Pseudomonadati; Bacteroidota; Bacteroidia; Bacteroidales; Porphyromonadaceae.